GGCCAGGGACUAAUGAAAGUAUUUAGAAAAUUGGGCAGACUAGAUGGGCCGUAUGGUUCUUAUCUGCUGUCACAUUCUAUGUUUCUAUUUGAUUUACAGGCCUGAAAUCAUCCAAGAAUUAAGUUAUUUACUUAAUUUAGGGAUCUGACUCACUGAACUUGAGCCAAACUGAGAUAUGCAAAUCUGCUGUGAGUGAGUUGAUUAUUUGCUAAAGGGAAGUCUGUUUCAUAAUUCUAGCAUUUCCCCUUCUAUAUUACAAUCUGUGUAAUCACAAGCAUAAUUGUUUGUGUAUAUAUGUGUGUUAGUAUGUGUGUAUAUGUGUGUAUUGUAUGAAUGCAUGUCUCUAUUUGUGUGCUUAUGUAUGCAGCAUGUGAAGAUAAAUAUAUGUGUGUGUGUGCAUGUGUGCUUAAAGUGGCACUGUCACUAUCUGGCGACCCUUGCUGAAUUUGCAGAGAUGCCCGACAGUGGCAUCUCUGCAAAGGGUCUGGUGGUCGAGAGGGUGGUGGGGGAGGAAAAGGUAAUAUUUACUUAUUUGAACUUGUGGGCACGGUCUUCUUGUUAUGGUGUAUCCUCUUCAACCAUCACUGGUCAGGCGGAGCAAACAUAUUUAGACAUAGUAGUCUCUACUUUGUCUCUGUAUAUCUCUUGUUUUGUCAGUGAAAUCCAACACAGACAAAAUGAGUAUUUCUUAAAGAUUUUGCUCUAAGCUAUAUAGUCUUUAGUUCCAUAACUCAUGGUCAAGACCCAAAUGAGGGUUACAAGGAUCCUUUUGAUGGUUGUGGAAUCAGGGCAGGGCGUAGGGGUGUGAGAUCUGCAUAACCUUUUUGUUACUUCAUAUUACAACUAAACUUUAAUAAUUUUAAGAGGCUAUCAGAAUAUAAGCUUAUUUGAGAAGAGCCUUCUGUGUCUUCUGAUUCUGUACGUCCAAAUUGUCUUGUUGCAACUGCUUGUCUGUUAGUCCACCUAUUGUACAGUGUUGUAAAAUUUGUUGGCGCUUUAUAAAUAUUACACAAUAACAAUGACAACAAUAAAAAUGAUAAUGAUAUAAAAAUGUAGCUUUGCAACCUCCAAUUUAACUUAACUAGAAAACUUUAUCUAGAAAAUCGUACACACACAUAUAUUGAGAAACAGAGAAGAUAAAAAGGAGAAAGCAAGACUACAGAAGAACUUAGGGCUUCAACUAAAAUAAAAUGUCUAUAAACACAACAACCUGUUUUUUUGUGGAUUCUAUAUGCAUUACUUGACACUUUUAUUAAACACACUAUACUUCAAGACUUUUUUUUUCUUCAACUAAAAGUUACACCUUUCCUCAUUUACAUCAUACUCCAGUCUCACCUCUUCCUCCUCCUUAACCCAGUUUUUGAAUUUCAUCUGCUCUACUAUACAUAUGUGUUGAAAAAUUUAUUUUUUAAAUUGCUCAUUAUUGAUAUGACUUUAUGAAUGUAUUUUUAAAUAUGCUUAAAUAUUGCUAUUGCUUUUUAUCUGCUUCUGAAAUGUCUCAUUGUAUUUUGUAAUGAAAUGAAAUAAAAUUGACUAAAUCA
Non-coding RNA from Pelobates cultripes (western spadefoot toad), 1541 nucleotides. Lineage: Eukaryota; Metazoa; Chordata; Amphibia; Anura; Pelobatidae. The record is from the annotation of a GenBank genome assembly.